RNAcentral lists this unclassified non-coding RNA (1180 nucleotides) under Leishmania donovani. RNAcentral describes it as "gene:unknown". Lineage: Eukaryota; Euglenozoa; Kinetoplastea; Trypanosomatida; Trypanosomatidae. The record is from RNAcentral.
GCAUGCUUGGGGGCAACAGAAUGCUGACAACUAACUCUCGCUCGCUGACUCUCGGCACCCGCGCGCCUGAUCUCCUGCUCUACGCCGGCAAGCGAGUGGGCGUGAGUCCCUGCGGACAGCAUAUUUAAUACCUUCCUUUGUGUACUCCAUUCAUUCACGUCCGCACGCAUUCCUCGCGACACGGUGGUGCGACGAGAUCGGGGGGACGACGGGGCCUGUCCCCUCGCUGCCCAGUGGCGGCGCGCUCUUUGCUCUGCCUGUGAGUGCGCCUUCCUGUUGCCAUAUGGGCCGCGGAUGGGCGACAGUGACCGCACGGCCCCUUGUCUCCCGUUGUGUCUUCUGUCCAUGCGUCCAGAAGGUAGGUCUCGCCCCCGGGCCCCCCUGCAUGUCCCCACCCGGUGGCACCGUACGCUGGAAGGACGUGUAGGGCCGCACUUUCGCCAGUGCGCACGCACAGGCGUAUGCGCGUGUCUGUGCUCUUGUACGGCAGAUGCGCUCGACUCCUACUGGCAUGGGCUCGGUGUAGGCGGUCGGACCGCCUACACUCGCCGGACGUCGGAUUGACUGAGGUGGAUGGGCCGACUCGCCCAUAGCGUCGGCGUAACUCCGUUUCCUUUCGCCAUCUCUCUCUCACGCUGGCAAAGGGACGGAGGCAUUAACGUCUCAUGUGAAUCAACAGUAAUGCAUGACUGAAAUGGAAGGAACGCACACAGGAAUUGCAUCAUCAUCAGCGUCUGAGUGAUCGUAUCUAGCGCAUCUCUCAUAUCCCCUCUCCCUCUCACUCUCACGGUCCGUUCCCAAGCACAGUCGACUUAUCUUCGCAUCGGAGACGAGGUGUGAGCAAAGUCGUAGUCGCGUGCCCGCCGGCCCACAUGCACACACGCACACGUACAUACGUGCAUAUGCAUGCAUAUAUAGAUAUGCAUAUAUAGUUAUAUGUGGUUUAUGCACCCUCGCGUUAGGAGAAAUAGUACGUGGAAAGGUGAGGGGAUGGCGAGGGAGAAGGCAGGAUAGCGAAGAGGCGUAAGAGGCAGAGACAGAGAGAGAGCACAAUAAGGGCCUGCCCUCAACGUUUGUGUGUCUGUGCGUGUGGGUGUAUGGACGCAUAGGCGCGUUGACGCCUUGCUUCCCUCUGACACACUCACGCACCGCGUCUGAACGAGCCGACCGCGAAUGGGCC